UCCUCUGCUGGGCGCCACAACUUUCCCCAACCCGUGCCAACUUCCAGGGCACAGCCUCUGCGGAGAGUAGCAGGGUACAGUGAAUAACCCAGACACUAAAAAGCAAGGCAGCGGGGGUCCUACCAGCGCGGCUUUUGAUGACGUCGGUGAAUCCGUCCUCAGCGGCAUUUUCUGGGGUCUCCUGCAGACCCCUCAGCUGUGCCAUAACCAAACGCCACGUGCCUCAGCUUCCUCACGCCCCAAACUUUGGAAGGCAGACUGCCAUUUAUAAUGAGCCCUACGGAGAGGCCAUGUGGCAAGAAGCUGAGGCUGCCAGAGGGAACCUGAGGCCUGCCAGCAACCACAUACAUGAGUUUGGAAGUUAAUUCUUCAGCUUCCUUUGAGUCUUGAGGUAGCUACAGCCUGGCCAGAACUUGACUAAACUUCAUAAGGGACACUGAGCCAGAAACACCUAACUAAGCAAAUUCUGGUUUUAUGACCUUCAGAAAUUGUGUGAAAUAAUAAAUAUUUGUUGUUUUCAUUAUUCACCAUAGCAAAGUCAUGGAAUCAACCUAGGUGCCCAUCAACAGUGGAUUGGAUAAAAAAGGUGCACAUAUAACGCAUGGAAUACUAUGCAACCAUAAAAAAGAAUGAAACCACAUCCUUUGCAGCAACAUAGUUACAGCUAUAGAGCAUAAUCCUAAGCAAAUUAACACAGGAACAGAAAAGCAAAUAUUGCCUGUUCUCACUUAUAAGUGGGAGCUAAACAUUGGGUAUACAUGGACAUAAAGAUGGAAACAAUAGAUGAUGAGGACUCCGAAAUGGGGAAAGAACUGGAGUAACGGUUGAAAACCUACCUGUUGGGUACUAUGUUCACUAUUUGGGUAACAGAUUCAGUAGAAGCCCAAACCCUAGCAUUAUGCAAUGCACCCAUGUAACAAACCUGCACAUGUACCCACUGAAUCUAAAAUAAACUGUAUUUGUUGU
This 966-nucleotide long non-coding RNA is filed under the name Homo sapiens (human). Its description in RNAcentral is "novel transcript". Lineage: Eukaryota; Metazoa; Chordata; Mammalia; Primates; Hominidae. The record is from RNAcentral.